RNAcentral lists this ribosomal RNA (422 nucleotides) under Pseudocitrobacter sp. 73. Its description in RNAcentral is "bacterial SSU rRNA". It matches the Rfam family "Bacterial small subunit ribosomal RNA", at positions 282 to 696 of the family's 1533-position model. The record is from RNAcentral. Lineage: Bacteria; Pseudomonadati; Pseudomonadota; Gammaproteobacteria; Enterobacterales; Enterobacteriaceae.
CCUAGCUGGUCUGAGAGGAUGACCAGCCACACUGGAACUGAGCCACGGUCCAGACUCCUACGGGAGGCAGCAGUGGGGAAUAUUGCACAAUGCGCGCAAGCCUGAUGCAACCAUGCCGCGUGAAUGAACAAGGCCCUCGGGUUGUAAAGUACUUUCAGCGAGUACGAAAGUGGUGUGGCUAAUCCCCGCAGCAAUUGACGUGACUCUCAGAAGAAGCACCUGCUAACUCCGUGCCAGCAGCCGCGGUAAUACGGAGGGUGCAAGCUUUAAUCGGAAUUACUGGGCGUAUAGCGCACGCAGGCGGUUUGUUAAGUCAGAUGUGAAAUCCCCGGGCUCAACCUGGGAACUGCAUUUGAAACUGGCAAGCUUGAGUCUCGUAGAGGGGGGUAGAAUUCCAGGUGUAUCGGUGAAAUGCGUAGAGA